RNAcentral lists this small RNA (78 nucleotides) under Xenorhabdus beddingii. RNAcentral's name for it is "isrK". It matches the Rfam family "isrK Hfq binding RNA". Lineage: Bacteria; Pseudomonadati; Pseudomonadota; Gammaproteobacteria; Enterobacterales; Morganellaceae. The record is from RNAcentral.
GCACCAGAAAAAUCUGGUGUCAGGAUUGAGACCCUGAAUCAGUUAUCGGCGACACAUGACGCGCCAAGCGUCUUUUUU